GAUGAACGCUGGCGGCGUGCCUAAUACAUGCCAGUCGAGCGAACAGACGAGGAGCUUGCUCCUCUGACGUUAGCGGCGGACGGGUGAGUAACACGUGGAUAACCUACCUAUAAGACUGGGAUAACUUCGGGAAACCGGAGCUAAUACCGGAUAAUAUAUUGAACCGCAUGGUUCAAUAGUGAAAGACGGUUUUGCUGUCACUUAUAGAUGGAUCCGCGCCGCAUUAGCUAGUUGGUAAGGUAACGGCUUACCAAGGCAACGAUGCGUAGCCGACCUGAGAGGGUAAUCGGCCACACGGAAACGGAGACACGGUCCAGACUCCAACGGAGGCAGCAGUAGGGAAUCUUCCGCAAUGGGCGAAAGCCUGACGGAGCAACGCCGCGUGAGUGAUGAAGGUCUUCGGAUCGUAAAACUCUGUUAUUAGGGAAGAACAAAUGUGUAAGUAACUAUGCACGUCUUGACGGUACCUAAUCAGAAAGCCACGGCUAACUACGUG
Molecule: ribosomal RNA, 496 nt
Filed under: uncultured bacterium
Lineage: Bacteria
Description: partial 16S ribosomal RNA
Rfam family: Bacterial small subunit ribosomal RNA
Source: RNAcentral